CCUACGGGAGGCAGCAGUGGGGAAUAUUGCGCCAUGGGCGAAAGCCUGACGCCGCGACGCCGCGUGAGGGAUGAAGGUCUUCGGAUCGUAAAACUCUGUCAGCAGGGAAGAACGGUCACUGUGCUAAUCAGCAGUGAAUUGACGGUACCUGCUAAGGAAGCACCGGCUAACUCAUUGCCAGCAGCCGCGGUAAUACGGAGGGUGCGAGCGUUAAUUGGAAUUAUUGGGCGGAACGCGCUCGUAGGCGGUAUGUCAAGUCAAGGGUGAAAUCCCCGGGCUCAAGGUGGGAACUGCCUUUGAAACUGGCAAACUGGAGUGUGUGAGAGGAUAGUGGAAUUCCAGGUGUAGGAGUGAAAUCCGUAGAUAUCUGGAGGAACAUCAGUGGCGAAGGCGACUAUCUGGCACAUAACUGACGCUGAGGAGCGAAAGCGUGGGUAGCAAACAGGAUUAGAUACCCCUGUAGUC
Molecule: ribosomal RNA, 465 nt
Filed under: uncultured bacterium
Lineage: Bacteria
Description: partial 16S ribosomal RNA
Rfam family: Bacterial small subunit ribosomal RNA
Source: RNAcentral